Heterocephalus glaber (naked mole-rat) is the source of this 1325-nucleotide long non-coding RNA. The record is from Ensembl. Lineage: Eukaryota; Metazoa; Chordata; Mammalia; Rodentia; Bathyergidae.
AGGGGGGAGUUGCAGCUCCUGGCAAAUGCGCCAAAGUGUCCAGCCCCACCCUCGCGACCUCUAACCUCUCCUCGGACGGGAAGACCGGCGCGUUCCACGCAUGCUCAGUACGUCCGCGCAGAUUUCUGAAGCUCGAAUCCCGCGUGCGUUGUGUACGGUAAAAGCUAAAUUCAGACUCGCUUUUUGCUCAGCAACCAAAGGGCCACCAUGCUUUAUGAUUUAUAGCAACCCCAUUAUCCCACAAGUGACACUGCAUUCCGCCUCCAGGGUCUAUGAUAAGAUCAUGGACGCAAGAGUUGCACAGCACCCUGCCUGGGAAUACCAGUCUUGCAGGCUCCCUUCCAGUUGGACCGUCUGGUGUGCCUGGCUUUCCAGAGUGUGCGCCCAGCUCCCGGCUCCAUCCUCUGUGACAGCACCACAGCCCCAUCACUGUGGGCUCGCACAGGCUCCUCAACAGCUAACAGAAGCUCAACCUCAAGAAAAUGGAAUCCCAUAUUCCAACCUGGACAUUUAGUACUGGUAAAGUCUCUUCCCUCAUCAUCUCCUCCGCUAGGACCAAUUUGGGAAGGAUCAUGCACUGUGAUCCUGUCAACACCAUCAGCUGUCAAGGUAGCAGGCCUGGACCCCUGGAUACACCACACUUGACACAAGCCCUGGGAAGCAGAAACUAUUGAUAGAACCUUGACGGAUCCUCUGCAUCCAAGCCACAAAUGAGGGAAGAGAGACACACGGAGAAACCGAAGGAGAAUAUCACUUCUCUCCACACAUCACUGGUCAAGGCCAGCUACAGGACCCCACCAAGACAGCAGAAGCCAGGAAAAUGUCUGGCUAUAUGAGCAGGUAGAAGACAGCCUAAUACCAAGCACUGGCAGCCUUGGUUAUACAAGUUCCAUACAAGAACAAGAUGUAUUUUUAACAACAAACAUAUCAAAGCAAACACUGACCCCACCCUUCUACCCUUCUGCCACAUUAUGAUGUACCACAAGGACCCUCAGAAGCCAAGCAAAUGCCAGCACCGGGCCCUGGGACUUCCCCAUCUCCAGAGCCAUGAGACAAAAUGAACUUCUUUCCUAUAGGAUUUGCCCAGUGACUGAAACAGCUACUUUGUCCCUGUCCUCACCAUCUGGUGUCAGUGGGUUUUGCUCCAAUUAGAUUACUUGGGACUCCCAAGUGUCUUCCUUGUUGGGAAGGAACCACUCACUACCACCACCAUUCUCCUUACAGGUGAUAAUUUGAGUUGUUUUCCUUGAAUGGCCCUCCUUCCUCCUUCUAGCCAAUGUGGGGUUGCUUUUGAGUAAAUUGGAUUUUAUAAAAAGUAAAUGGUG